GUAAGUUCUACGGGGUAGCAAAAAAAAGCGCGGGGUGAGCGCAGCCGGCACGUCGUCAGCGUGCCGGCCACGGCGUGGCUGCAUGCACGGCGGGGCCAUCAUCGUCGGAUAACAAAUGCAUGCGGACCGACUUGCGACAAGCAGCGUUCCGUCGUCCGACCGGGGAAUGCAGUAUCGGGCGGCGGCGGACGUUUUUUCAUC
RNAcentral lists this non-coding RNA (201 nucleotides) under Burkholderia multivorans ATCC 17616. Its description in RNAcentral is "Burkholderia sRNA 1". It matches the Rfam family "Burkholderia sRNA 1". From Rfam's summary of the family: Trans-encoded, exhibits differential expression profiles dependent on growth phase and cell stimuli, such as antbiotics and serum. The record is from Rfam by way of RNAcentral. Lineage: Bacteria; Pseudomonadati; Pseudomonadota; Betaproteobacteria; Burkholderiales; Burkholderiaceae.